AAGUCUUUAAGUUAAUUAAACUAUUAGCCUUCAAAGUUGAAUAUACUUUAUUUAAGUAAGUCUUA
RNAcentral lists this transfer RNA (65 nucleotides) under Empoasca sp. EMHAU_031203. RNAcentral describes it as "tRNA-Trp". The record is from RNAcentral. Lineage: Eukaryota; Metazoa; Arthropoda; Insecta; Hemiptera; Cicadellidae.